RNAcentral lists this ribosomal RNA (478 nucleotides) under uncultured organism. RNAcentral describes it as "partial 16S ribosomal RNA". It matches the Rfam family "Bacterial small subunit ribosomal RNA", at positions 332 to 801 of the family's 1533-position model. The record is from RNAcentral.
UACACUCCUACGGGAGGCAGCAGUGGGGAAUAUUGCACAAUGGGCGCAAGCCUGAUGCAGCCAUGCCGCGUGUAUGAAGAAGGCCUUCGGGUUGUAAAGUACUUUCAGCGGGGAGGAAGGCGAUAAGGUUAAUAACCUUGUCGAUUGACGUUACCCGCAGAAGAAGCACCGGCUAACUCCGUGCCAGCAGCCGCGGUAAUACGGAGGGUGCAAGCGUUAAUCGGAAUUACUGGGCGUAAAGCGCACGCAGGCGGUCUGUCAAGUCGGAUGUGAAAUCCCCGGGCUCAACCUGGGAACUGCAUUCGAAACUGGCAGGCUAGAGUCUUGUAGAGGGGGGUAGAAUUCCAGGUGUAGCGGUGAAAUGCGUAGAGAUCUGGAGGAAUACCGGUGGCGAAGGCGGCCCCCUGGACAAAGACUGACGCUCAGGUGCGAAAGCGUGGGGAGCAAACAGGAUUAGAUACCCCUGUAGUCCCAUGAU